Molecule: transfer RNA, 86 nt
Filed under: Planctomycetota bacterium
Lineage: Bacteria; Pseudomonadati; Planctomycetota
Description: Planctomycetes bacterium (subsurface metagenome) tRNA-Leu
Rfam family: tRNA
About the family: Transfer RNA (tRNA) molecules are approximately 80 nucleotides in length.
Source: RNAcentral
GCCGGAGUGGCGGAAUGGUAGACGCGACGGAUUCAAAAUCCGUUGGGAGCAAUCCCAUGAGGGUUCAAGUCCCUUCUCCGGUACCA